RNAcentral lists this ribosomal RNA (418 nucleotides) under Indolestes gracilis. RNAcentral describes it as "partial 16S ribosomal RNA". The stretch from base 1 to 210 matches the Rfam family "Archaeal large subunit ribosomal RNA", at positions 1889 to 2143 of the family's 2987-position model. Lineage: Eukaryota; Metazoa; Arthropoda; Insecta; Odonata; Lestidae. The record is from RNAcentral.
CGCCUGUUUAACAAAAACAUGUCUUCUUGUUAUUUAUAGGAAGUCUGACCUACCCAGUGAAUAAUUUUUAACGGCCGCGGUAUUUUGACCGUGCAAAGGUAGCAUAAUCAUUAGUCUUUUAAUAGAAGGCUGGCAUGAAUGGUUUGACGAGGUGCUGACUGUCUCACUUGAUUUUUUAUUAUAAUUUAACUUUUUAGUCAAAAGGCUAAAAUAUAUUUGGAAGACGAGAAGACCCUAUAGAGCUUUAUAAUAUUUUGAUUAAUCAUAUUUAGUUUAAUUUUUUUGGUUAUUUAUCUUAUUAUUUUGUUGGGGUGACAAAAAUAUAUAAUUAACUUUUUUAUUUAUUUUACAUUAAUUUAUGAACAACCGGAUCCAUUCUUAGUGAUUAUUAGACUAAGUUACCUUAGGGAUAACAGCG